UACGUAGGGUGCGAGCGUUAAUCGGAAUUACUGGGCGUAAAGCGUGCGCAGGCGGUUCGUGAUGUCUGGUGUGAAAGCCCCGGGCUUAACCUGGGAAUUGCAUUGGAAACUAGCGGGCUGGAGUGUGGCAGAGGGGGGUGGAAUUCCACGUGUAGCAGUGAAAUGCGUAGAGAUGUGGAGGAACACCGAUGGCGAAGGCAGCCUUCUGGGCCAACACUGACGCUCAUGCACGAAAGCGUGGGGAGCAAACAGG
Molecule: ribosomal RNA, 253 nt
Filed under: uncultured bacterium
Lineage: Bacteria
Description: partial 16S ribosomal RNA
Rfam family: Bacterial small subunit ribosomal RNA
Source: RNAcentral